ACAAGCCGCCGCGUAGGUUGGGGUGAGCGAAGCGAUGCCCAACGCAUGGGAUGCCGGAGCGUUGGGCAUCGCUUCGCUCACCCCAACCUACUCGCUGUGUGCA
Molecule: microRNA precursor, 103 nt
Filed under: Rhodanobacter sp. MP7CTX1
Lineage: Bacteria; Pseudomonadati; Pseudomonadota; Gammaproteobacteria; Lysobacterales; Rhodanobacteraceae
Description: microRNA MIR1846
Source: RNAcentral